Molecule: long non-coding RNA, 2733 nt
Organism: Mus musculus (house mouse)
Lineage: Eukaryota; Metazoa; Chordata; Mammalia; Rodentia; Muridae
Product: predicted gene, 34320
Exons: 5
Source: RefSeq, a predicted model, not a curated record
GUGAGAAAGGCAAAUGAGAUCGGUUACAUAAACCAGCAGGAAGCAAAGGUCAGAACAGUACAAGGACAGAUGUGACGAUUGUUUGGUAAGGAGGGUCAGAAUCAGCCAGAAAACUCUCUCAGUAGAUUACGAGCUUCGUGAUGUUGCACACAACAGUGACUCUCCUUACUUUGGCUUCUACCUACAGGAAGUGCUCCUCAAUUAUUUAGGAGGAACAGCCUGUCACCCCGCGCACUAAGACGUGACUAUGCACAUCCAAUCCCUAAGACGCACUUGAUCUCAUUCUUUCAGCAUUGAGGAAUUUCAUGGCUCAGAUGGCGCUGCUUCUGUCCUCAGCUGUACUGUCUGUGGUUUGAAGACCCAACUGCUUCCCCCUCGGAAUCCAGUGUCUAAUGACCAGAUGCACAGAGCACUGGAAGUUCAGGUUCAGCAUCAGAGCUUUGCCCCAGAUCUGGUUCUGGCAGAAGAAUUUCAUUAUGGAUGCAAGACCUAAGAAGGAUUUAGGGUUCGUGAUGGCAAUGUGCUUGUUCUACAGGGGUCUAGGACAACCACACCUACCUCUAUACCUCUUCAUACCUCUGCCCCAUUCCCUGUUAUCUGCCUCACUGGCUCAGUCUCUCAAAAUAAAUUCACAAAGUUACACAGAGACAAGGCCCUAAGAAAUCAGGGGCAGGUUCCCUUAAGCAUCAGCUGAUUACAGAGCUAUACUUGUUUAAAGCAGGCCAUCAAAGCCACUCUGCACAAUUGUGUGCCUGUAACACUCUCCCUCUGCAUCUGAAUGCCUAACCCUUUCCUUAGUUUCUCUGGAGGUCCUGUUUAUCUCAGCAAUAACAACAGCAAUAAAGAACAAUUAAUAGUAAUAAUAACUGUAGUCAGUAUUAGCUUACAUCUGACUUGAUGUUCUCGGAGGGCAUCCGUCAGACCACUCCUUUAGGCCAGGGACCACUCCCUCUCUACUCACAGGAGCAUCCACUAUGGUGCUCUCCAGUACCUCUCAUCACUUGGCCCCCUGCUCAGAGCAGGAUGGAAGUGAAUGAGAUGGAGACAUUGUCUGUCUUGGUGGUCUCCUGGGCCUGCUGAGUACAGAGGUAUGAGCAAGCGCUGGGCUCUUCCUCCCCCAUCUCAUUUGUAAAAGGAAAAUGAGAUCAAAGGGGAGGGAGCGCCCCUGUUACUCUCCCUUGCAUUGAUCACUGCACACACAUCAUCACCUCAGUCUCUGCAGUGGAGAGCUAGAGGAGGCCGCGCAUCAGACACCCGCUUUCAUGAGAAGAAUCCAGCGUGUGACAUGAUGUCUAAUUUCCAGCCUCCCAAUUGCCCAGGCGGACCUCAUCCUCUGAAUUCAGCUCUUCCUAAAUGAAGGGAGCAGGGAGGGGGUCCUCCUGCUGGCAGAACGUUGAAAGCAAGAUCCAUGACAUAGGCCUGCGAGGAAGAUUUUGCUCGGGAAAUGCAUGGGUUUCCGUAUUCUGCACACCAAGCCUGUCUUCUAAUGACAGCCUUGGGAGUCAGACAUUUCUAAGUGCUAAUUAGAGGUGUUGAUUAUCGUGGUAACCCUGUGGGGGCUCAACCCAAGCCUGAGAGCAAAAGCCACAGAUAAAAUAAAGAUUGUUACAGUGGCUCCCGGUGUCACAUGAACAUCAAUACUGGAUUGUCAAUGCUCAGGCGCAAUCCAAUCUGGGACUCCAGCUAUUGCAAUGACGGAGUCCCAGGGUGAUACACGGGGCUGUCACACCUUUCACAAUAUGCAGUUCUGAUGGAGGUACGGAUACUUCAUCCUAAUCAAUCAGGAGAAGAAGAAGAAAAAAAAACAAAAAAACAACUCACCAGAACUCAGAUAUACAGAGAUUGACUUAUGAGAGGAUUUCACUAACACAUGAGCAAAGGCUGUGGCGAUGGGACACACAAAACCAACUUACGGCCAGAAAUAAAUGAGCUGCUUAGACGCUCGCAGUCUGCAGCGUCUCCAUUUAUGUCCUGACUCACUUAUGUUUUGCCAUGCGCACAUGUGACUUCUCUCGUGGAUGAGAAAUUUGGGCUAUUGAUUUCUUCUCACUUUACAUCCAUAUCCAUUGACAGUUCAUGACUACAUUGAAAAAAAAGAGUGGGAAUGAGAGACAGAAGUCUUGAGAAGGAGUCUUAAUUUGAGGGGUCGGUAGUAACAUAAGAGCAGGGGUUCUAGGGUCAGAAGAGGGUAAGGACCAGCCCUCUUUAGCUAAGGUCUGUAAACUUUAUCAUCGUCCUCCACCAGUUAGUAUAAUAUAUAGCCUCUAACUGCAUCAGGGACUAAAUGAAAUAAAGGCUAUCCAACUGUGAGAUUGUAUCUAUGUUGACACUGAUAAAUCACUAAGCCACAUUUGGCCUUACAUUCCUCCUUUGGAGUAAAUAGAAAAUAAUAAAAAUUAAAAUCCUGCUUCUAGAAUUUAAAAACUAACUGUGGGAAUGUGUUACUUACCAGUUACUUUGAAUCCAUAAAUAAUUCUGAAUUUAUGAUAAUGAUUAUCAUAAAAAUAACCUCAGAGAUCUCUGCUUUGAGGCUGGAUCAUCAGGGCCAAAACACAGGUCGCUUCCCUUGAACCUUUGACUUAUUGUGACUCUUGGGACAAAAUGGUCACAUUUUCUUCUUUUCUUUCUUUUUAAUCUAAAAUCACCUUUCCAAAAUUCCGGUGAGAUAAUCCGUGUGGGUUUCUUUUCCUGCCUGUGCAUUUGCCAAAUGUCCCAAUGAGCUUUGAAGUCAGG